RNAcentral lists this ribosomal RNA (715 nucleotides) under Golovinomyces depressus. RNAcentral's name for it is "eukaryotic LSU rRNA". It matches the Rfam family "Eukaryotic large subunit ribosomal RNA", at positions 82 to 814 of the family's 3401-position model. The record is from RNAcentral. Lineage: Eukaryota; Fungi; Ascomycota; Leotiomycetes; Helotiales; Erysiphaceae.
AGUAACGGCGAGUGAAGCGGUAACAGCUCAAAUUUGAAAUCUGGCUCCUGCGGAGUCCGAGUUGUAAUUUGUAGAAGAUGCUUUGGGAGGUAGGGCCGGCCUAAGUUCCUUGGAACAGGACGUCAGAGAGGGUGAGAAUCCCGUAUGCGGCCGAGGCCUACGCCCGUGUAAAGCUCUUUCGACGAGUCGAGUUGUUUGGGAAUGCAGCUCAAAAUGGGUGGUAAAUUUCAUCUAAAGCUAAAUAUUGGCCAGAGACCGAUAGCGCACAAGUAGAGUGAUCGAAAGAUGAAAAGCACUUUGGAAAGAGAGUUAAACAGUACGUGAAAUUGUUGAAAGGGAAGCGCUUGCAACCAGACUUGGGCGUCGGCGAUCAUCCGUGGUUUUCCGCGGUGCACUCGACGAUGCACAGGCCAGCAUCGGUUUGGGUGGUUGGAGAAAGACCCGAGGAAUGUAGCUCUCUUCGGGGAGUGUUAUAGCCUAGGGUGCAAUGCAGCCCACCUGGACCGAGGACCGCGCCUUUGGGCUAGGAUGCUGGCGUAAUGGUUGCAAGCGACCCGUCUUGAAACACGGACCAAGGAGUCUAACAUCUAUGCGAGUGUUUGGGCGUUAAACCCAUACGCGGAAUGAAAGUGAACGUAGGUGAGAACCCGGUAGGUGCAUCAUCGACCGAUCCUGAUGUCUUCGGAUGGAUUUGAGUAGAGCAUAGCUGUUGGGA